UCUUUCUCUGGAGAUCGCUCCUCUUGGAGCUCUUUGGUGAGCCUGGGACAUGGGUAUUGUGCUAUUUAUGGUUUGCCCUUCGGAAGACUCUGAAACUUAAUGAUGCAGUGCAGCAAAGGUAGUGCUGAAUCAGAGCUACUCUGUAAUCAUUCAUCAGGUUCAGAAGAAGAGUGUUCUUUGCAGUGGAAACAUGCUGUGCCCGAGCUCCAGGAGGGAUGUUACUGGCUGAUACGUGAAUGUUCUUCCAGGACAGUACUGCAUAAGAAAUGGCAAGAAGAAAUAAACAAUUUGCUGCUCUUGGCACUUUAGUUCCAGCUGAAAGGGAUUGGAAAGACUAUUUCAUUGCACAAAGGUCUAUCUUCCCACUGCAACUUCUUACAGGCUGACAAAUGCAUAUAAAUAAAGAUGCUGAAGCAACAUGUAGGUUAUUCCCUUUUUCCACGAAUCCCAGAGAGUGUGUAGUUCUGAGGGAGCGUCUUAGUGCUCAGUACACUUCAUGAAAUGGCUAUUUAGACUGUGAGCAUAUAAGCUGUGGCAUCAUUCCUCAAUUAUUUUUAUCAGCAUUAAGAGGAAAAAUAAACCUAGGGUCACAAAUCAUGCAAGUUCAAGCAUAGUAGCAGUAGCUACGAAAUCUACACUGGGCCAGAUCUUACUCAGAGUUAAAAACAGCCCCCUCUGCCAAAUCACUGUACAACUGGAAGUCACAGAGAAAUAUACAGAAGAUGGUAUUUUAAAGUCCUUAGAUCAGUGUUGUAGAAAAAAGGAGGCAAUGUUGGCUCAAACAGAUUGUUCUAUCUGAAUGACUUUGCAAAGAGAUUUGUGUGGGUGGUUAUAUCUAGCCUAGAGAUUCCUGAGGAACUCUCACUGAAGGAAGAAUGGAGUAUUUUACCUGUACUCAGUCUUAAGGAACCUGUCUCUAGUAAAAUAAUAGAGCUUGGCUCUCUGAAGAGUCUCUUACAGAUGUUGACCAGAUGAACUAAGAAACGAUGCAAGAAAGCAAGAGACUAAUGACUUGUUGCCAUUUGCAGAAGAAUGCAUUCAGAAACUGCUUUCUCUUUGGUAAAAUUUCUUCAAAGUUACAAAAGUUGUGUAGAAAGACAAAAGACUUGCUUUGGAUUCAGGGUUGUGAUUUGAAGGCUUAUGCUACUCCAGAACACAGUGUUUGCCAGCUGCCUUCCUCACAUUGUUAUGUGGCCAAAAAUAUGUACUUGGACCUCCCAUUGCUCUGAAGAAUGGGAACAGGGAACCUGGAGAUAUGUACCUGGGUGCUACAUGCUGUAUCAGUAAUACUUCCCUGUGAUGGGACUGGGAAGCAGCAGCAUAGUAAUGUUAUAGGUAAAAGGAUUUAUUUACUCCCUUUUACUAUCUGCCAGUGUCUUAAUAUCCAGCAGCAUUAAGAACAGAAAUGCAUGAUGUAGUUGACUUAAACGCCAUCUGGUAGGUAGCUUCUUGACUGCAAGACGGAUAUGCAGAAGUUAAAGCUUCCAUGGCCAUAAGGAAUAUUCAACAGAAGCGUAGUGAAUAAAUAGCUCAUUUAAGGCCUUAUGGCAUCCUAAAUAUAUGUGAGGAGAAGACUGGAGAAGUACAAUAGGCUAAAUAGCAGCCUUCUGUGCCCAAUGUAAAAUUCUUAAAAUCAAUUAAAAAGCAUUUAUAAGACUUUUUUUUCCCAUGUCAGAAUUGCAAGACUGUACUGAAGGAAGCAAGCUACAGGGCUCUGAAUCAGAUUCACCCAAGGAAUAAUAAUAGCAUGUGGGAACUCUGGAAAUAAAGAAUGAUGGUAAUUUAGCCCUCAGAGGAAUAAAAAAGGGAGGAGAGAGAGAGGAGAAAAAAAACCCAAAACUAGACAAAGAAGACAUUUACCAAUAGUUCUAUAUCCUUUGUACUGAGGGACAAUUUUCCCAGGCAAACUCUCACAAAUGAUACACUUAUGCUUUGGAAAUUGUUCUGGAGACCAUUGUCCCUUUAAAGAGAGAUCCCGUUCAGGGCAUUUGCUUCCACAUUAGUGCUUCUUAUGCAAAUGAAGAAAUCUUUAGUUUUUGUAGUGGAACCUGGGGAGUCUGUUUUAUAGUCAGAACAAAUGCAGGAGGGAAUCCUUAAUGCUCACCACACCAGCUGUUCCGUAUGGUUCUUUUUCUGUUACCAAAAUACCUUUUUCUGAGUAUUGGGAAGAGGCUGAGCUGUCUGCUGAGCAGUGCUGGGAGUAGAGACAUCCCAAAGGCAGAGUCAUGUAUGGCUGUGUCAGAGCCUGGAACGCAGUUCUUGUGUAGUAGGUCCCUAAUAGAACUUCAGGUGGGUUAAUUGGUACUUUCUCAUUGACUUACCCCAGUCCCAGACAACAGUGAUAAAGCCACUUUUCUCACAAGGGUACUAUAAUGACUAAUGCUUUCUGAAGUGUUAAAUAUGAGAAAGGUGAGGUGUGUAGCAAAGAAAAUAGAUGCUUGCUGGUUUGAAAUGCAUUGUGUGCAGUCUGUGCUUAUUUAGCUGUGGUAAAUGAGCUGUAGCAUAUUAUAGAGAAGACCUGAACCUACAUCUUUUACAUUAUUAAAGUUAUGGGUUUCUGGCUUUUCCCCCUAACCUUCUAAUAUGCUGUUGUUAUGGCAACAGUGUUUCUAUCAAGUGAUUCAUAUGAACUACACCUUUUUUGUACUUCUACCUGUUUUGGCAGUCUCAAGGUACUUAAAUGCGUCAGUUCUUGAGUUGUCUUUUUCAACCAGAGGGAAUUUCGUUAUAGAUUUCGAGCUGAACUAUCCCUCUUUCCCUGCUCAAAGGGUGCUUUGACAAAAUCAUCAUUUCUGCAAAAUGUUGUGGUUUUUUUUAACAUAUCUUACAAACUGGAAUUCUUUAUCUCCUGUUGAGUGCCCAAAGGGCUGGACAAACAGGCCUUUGCAGAAACUUUUAAUUACCACGGAUGGGUGAAACUGGUAUUAAAUUCAUACAUA
Molecule: long non-coding RNA, 2939 nt
Organism: Gallus gallus (chicken)
Lineage: Eukaryota; Metazoa; Chordata; Aves; Galliformes; Phasianidae
Source: Ensembl